This 497-nucleotide ribosomal RNA is filed under the name uncultured bacterium. RNAcentral's name for it is "partial 16S ribosomal RNA". It matches the Rfam family "Bacterial small subunit ribosomal RNA", at positions 28 to 507 of the family's 1533-position model. The record is from RNAcentral.
GAUGAACGCUGGCGGCGUGCCUAACACAUGCAAGUCGAGCGAACACACGAGGAGCUUGCGCCCUUGACGUUAGCGGCUGACGGGUGAGUAACACGUGGAUAACCUACCUAUAAGACUGGGAUGACCUCGUGAGACCGGUUACAAUACUAGCUAAUAUGUUGAACUGCUUAGUUCAAUAGUUAAAGACGGUUUUGCUGUCUCUUAUAGACGGAUCCGCGUCGCAUUAGUUAGUUGGUAAGGUAACGUCUAACCAAGGCGACGAUGCGUAGCUGACCUGAGAGGGUGAUCGGCCACACUGGAACUGAGACACGGUCCAGACUCCUACGGGAGGCAGCAGUGGGGAAUCUUGGGCAAUGGGCGAAAGCCUGACCGAGCAAAGCCGCGUGAGUGAAGAAGGUCUUCGGAUCGUAAAGCUCUGUUGUUAGGGAAGAACAAAUGUGUAAGUAACUAGGCCCGUCUUGACGGUACCUAAUCAGAAAGCCACGGCUAACUACGUG